UAGAAAACCUCUGUGAAGAUGUGGACC
RNAcentral lists this non-coding RNA (27 nucleotides) under Mus musculus (house mouse). The record is from RNAcentral. Lineage: Eukaryota; Metazoa; Chordata; Mammalia; Rodentia; Muridae.